GUAUAAUAAUUAAACCGCAUGGUUUUAGUUUAAAAGAUGGUCUUGCUAUCACUAAGAGAUGGUCCCGCGGUGUAUUAGUUAGUUGGUGAGGUAAUGGCUCACCAAGACAAUGAUACAUAGCCGAGUUGAGAGACUGACCGGCCACAAUGGGACUGGGACACGGCCCAUACUCCUACGGGAGGCAGCAGUAGGGAAUCUUCCACAAUGGACGAAAGUCUGAUGGAGCAACGCCGCGUGUGUGAUGAAGGGUUUCGGCUCGUAAAACACUGUUGUAAGAGAAGAAUGACAUUGAGAGUAACUGUUCAAUGUGUGACGGUAUCUUACCAGAAAGGAACGGCUAAAUACGUG
Molecule: ribosomal RNA, 348 nt
Filed under: uncultured bacterium
Lineage: Bacteria
Description: bacterial SSU rRNA
Rfam family: Bacterial small subunit ribosomal RNA
Source: RNAcentral